This 403-nucleotide ribosomal RNA is filed under the name Verrucomicrobiota bacterium. Its description in RNAcentral is "Verrucomicrobia bacterium partial 16S ribosomal RNA". It matches the Rfam family "Bacterial small subunit ribosomal RNA", at positions 355 to 776 of the family's 1533-position model. Lineage: Bacteria; Pseudomonadati; Verrucomicrobiota. The record is from RNAcentral.
UGGGGAAUAUUGCACAAUGGGGGAAACCCUGAUGCAGCGACGCCGCGUGAGCGAAGAAGGCCUUCGGGUCGUAAAGCUCUUUUAUAUGGGAAGAUAAUGACGUUACCAUAAGAAAAAGCCCCGGCUAACUACGUGCCAGCAGCCGCGGUAAUACGUAGGGGGCUAGCGUUGUCUGGAAUCACUGGGAGUAAAGGGUUCGCAGGCGGCAAUGCAAGUCAGAUGUAAAAGGCAAAGGCUCAACCUUUGUAAGCAUCUGAAACUGUAUAGCUUGAGAAGUGUAGAGGCAAGUGGAAUUUUUAGUGUAGCGGUGAAAUGGGUAGAUAUUAAAAAGAAAACCGGUGGCGAAGGCGACUUGCUGGGCACAAUCUGACGCUGAGGAACGAAAGCGUGGGGAGCAAACAGG